This 73-nucleotide transfer RNA is filed under the name Ailuropoda melanoleuca (giant panda). It matches the Rfam family "tRNA". From Rfam's summary of the family: Transfer RNA (tRNA) molecules are approximately 80 nucleotides in length. Their secondary structure includes four short double-helical elements and three loops (D, anti-codon, and T loops). Lineage: Eukaryota; Metazoa; Chordata; Mammalia; Carnivora; Ursidae. The record is from Rfam by way of RNAcentral.
GCCUGGCUGGCUCAGCUGGAAGAGCAGGCAACUCUUGAUCUUGGAGUCGUGGGUUCAAGCCCCACGCCGAGUG